ACGAGGGUGACAGGUGGUGGCAUGGUUGUCGUCAGCUCGUGUCGUGAGAUGUUGGGGUUAAGUCCCCGCAACGAGCGCAACCCUCGACCUUAGUUGCCAGCAUUCAGUUGGGCACUCUAAGGUGACUGCCGGCUAAAAGUCGGAGGAAGGUGGGGAUGACGUCAAAUCAUCAUGCCCCUUAUGACCUGGGCUACACACGUGCUACAAUGGGCGGUACAAGGGUCGCGAACCCGCGAGGGGGAGCCAAUCCCAAAAAGCCGCUCUCAGUUCGGAUUGCAGGCUGCAACUCGCCUGCAUGAAGCCGGAAUCGCUAGUAAUCGCGGAUCAGCAUGCCGCGGUGAAUACGUUCCCGGGCCUU
Molecule: ribosomal RNA, 358 nt
Filed under: uncultured Anoxybacillus sp.
Lineage: Bacteria; Bacillati; Bacillota; Bacilli; Caryophanales; Anoxybacillaceae
Description: bacterial SSU rRNA
Rfam family: Bacterial small subunit ribosomal RNA
Source: RNAcentral